AUGAGUUUGGUUGGGAUCAGCUCUGUCCGUGGUGGUCUCAUGGAUGUAGUGGUGACACCUCUCCUAGUAUACAUGUCCAAAAUCAUUAUUUUGUGGGAAUUCUCGCAGACUUUGCCUUUGUUCCGGGAGGCGUGCAACGACGGCAUGAAGAACAACAUCGAGACCAUACGUUCGGUUUCUCUGUGCCUGCUCUGCUGCCAUCCACACCCGCACUAUCCCAGCUCGUGUGCCGGCUCGAGGAGAAGCUCAGGCCGCCACCACACAAAGGGAGAGGAACCCAAGAAGAAUCUAUCCCGCCUUACUGUCCAUGACCCGACGACAGAGACAGCUACUUCGAGCCUAGGUCCUGCUCCGGAGACCGUUCCAGAGUACCUGUCUGUGAAGCAGUGCCUCCUCUGUUGA
RNAcentral lists this ribosomal RNA (402 nucleotides) under Triticum aestivum (bread wheat). RNAcentral's name for it is "partial small subunit ribosomal RNA". The record is from RNAcentral. Lineage: Eukaryota; Viridiplantae; Streptophyta; Magnoliopsida; Poales; Poaceae.